UGUUUAUGACGUCGACGUUAUAAAUACGAUCAACUUAGCUGUUUAAGACGUCGAUAUUCGACGUCAUAGACACGAUCAACUUUGGUGUUAUGACGUCGAUAUUCGACGUCAUAAACACGAUCAACUUUGGUGUUGAUGACGUCGACGUUAUAAACA
Molecule: non-coding RNA, 156 nt
Organism: Paramuricea clavata
Lineage: Eukaryota; Metazoa; Cnidaria; Anthozoa; Malacalcyonacea; Plexauridae
Source: the annotation of a GenBank genome assembly